Long non-coding RNA from Carassius auratus (goldfish), 1055 nucleotides. RefSeq lists it as uncharacterized. The record is from RefSeq and is a predicted model, not a curated record. The transcript has 2 exons. Lineage: Eukaryota; Metazoa; Chordata; Actinopteri; Cypriniformes; Cyprinidae.
UCCACAUUAAAAGUAAAAAUACUGGUUUUAUAUUGAAUGUUAGGAGAUGUAUGUUAGGGAUUGCACACAGUGGACAUUAAUUGAUUUUUGAGUGUGUUUUCUGUUCGUAUUUUUGGGUAAUUUGAUAGUUUUAUUUCUGUUUGCACGAACUCCAUUAUCUAUUAAUGUGGGCCAUUUUUUCCAUGUGCUCUCUAAAAAAACUGAAAUCAUUUCUCAAAAAGAUGGAGCUGUAUUACCGUGACUCACAAUUCUCUUAUUUCCACUGCUCUGUGUGCAGGGAAAUAAAGUAAAACAUCAUCCACAAUCUGAGUGUGUGUGAGUGCUGUGGAAGAAUGGGGCAAACCGGGCCAGAUUAACCAAAGGUCACAUUGGUGCCGUGACUCAGGACUUCAAUCAAGGUGGUCGAAGAUCAUCCCAACAUCGGACCGGCGGACCUAUCGUCAUUCUUCACUGCACAGGACCUUCAGCUAAGCUUUUAUGGACACUCUGAAGUGGUUUGAUAUUUUAUUGACUCCAGGAUGAUGACGAAGCCUUCAUCCAAAAAUCCACAGAGGAGACCACAGUGGGAAUCUACAUUCUCAAAUUCCGUGACAGAUCAGAUGACAUCGGGAUUGCUCUGAAAUGCCAGAACAUCUUGCAAGGCUUGGACAACUUUGCGUUAGCUAUGGCAAUGCUAAUGGUCUUAUGUAUGCCUUAAAUCUCAACUACCCACCUGAAAUGAACAAUACAUUUGAGGUAGUGCAGAAGAUAGUCUUCUGUUUUUUAAUAACUUGAUACUGUUCGUUUACUUCUGUAAUACAUACAUAAAAAUGAGUUGUACUGUUAAAAGAAAUGCAUGAAUUUGACUUCUUAUGAUUUUAAAAUUGAAAACAAAAAUGUCAAGGUAUGCUUUUGACAACUUGAUAUUGUUCACCUUUUCCUCUACACCUGUUUUUGUCUUAAUGUUUUUGUUGCAGUUACUGUAUGAAUGGUUAUUACUGUUCACCUUUUCCUCAACAUGUUUGACUGUGCAUUGUCUUUUACUUGAAGUGAUGAAUAAAUGAAAUGAGUAAAGU